GUGCCAGCAGCCGCGGUAAUACGUAGGUUCCGAGCGUUGUCCGGAUUUAUUGGGCGUAAAGCGAGCGCAGGCGGUUAGAUAAGUCUGAAGUUAAAGGCUGUGGCUUAACCAUAGUACGCUUUGGAAACUGUUUAACUUGAGUGCAAGAGGGGAGAGUGGAAUUCCAUGUGUAGCGGUGAAAUGCGUAGAUAUAUGGAGGAACACCGGUGGCGAAAGCGGCUCUCUGGCUUGUAACUGACGCUGAGGCUCGAAAGCGUGGGGAGCAAACAGGAUUAGAU
RNAcentral lists this ribosomal RNA (278 nucleotides) under uncultured Streptococcaceae bacterium. RNAcentral describes it as "partial 16S ribosomal RNA". It matches the Rfam family "Bacterial small subunit ribosomal RNA", at positions 505 to 783 of the family's 1533-position model. Lineage: Bacteria; Bacillati; Bacillota; Bacilli; Lactobacillales; Streptococcaceae. The record is from RNAcentral.